UCCUUUGUAGCUCAGUUGGUAAAGAAUCUGCCUGCAAUGCAGGAGAUCUGGGUUCGAUUCCUGGGUGGGAA
Molecule: transfer RNA, 71 nt
Filed under: Capra hircus (goat)
Lineage: Eukaryota; Metazoa; Chordata; Mammalia; Artiodactyla; Bovidae
Also listed under: 1 other name
Rfam family: tRNA
About the family: Transfer RNA (tRNA) molecules are approximately 80 nucleotides in length. Their secondary structure includes four short double-helical elements and three loops (D, anti-codon, and T loops).
Source: Rfam by way of RNAcentral